RNAcentral lists this ribosomal RNA (252 nucleotides) under uncultured bacterium. RNAcentral's name for it is "partial 16S ribosomal RNA". It matches the Rfam family "Bacterial small subunit ribosomal RNA", at positions 524 to 776 of the family's 1533-position model. The record is from RNAcentral.
UACGGAGGAUGCGAGCGUUAUCCGGAUUUAUUGGGUUUAAAGGGUGCGUAGGCGGGCUUUUAAGUCAGCGGUAAAAAUUCGGGGCUCAACCCCGUCCGGCCGUUGAAACUGGGGGUCUUGAGUGGGCGAGAAGAAGGCGGAAUGCGUGGUGUAGCGGUGAAAUGCAUAGAUAUCACGCAGAACCCCGAUUGCGAAGGCAGCCUUCCGGCGCCCUACUGACGCUGAGGCACGAAAGUGCGGGGGUCGAACAGG